This 751-nucleotide ribosomal RNA is filed under the name Algoriphagus halophilus. RNAcentral's name for it is "bacterial SSU rRNA". It matches the Rfam family "Bacterial small subunit ribosomal RNA", at positions 92 to 844 of the family's 1533-position model. Lineage: Bacteria; Pseudomonadati; Bacteroidota; Cytophagia; Cytophagales; Cyclobacteriaceae. The record is from RNAcentral.
AGAGUGGCGCACGGGUGCGUAACGCGUAUGCAACCUACCCUAUACAGGGGGAUAGCCCGGAGAAAUCUGGAUUAAUACCCCAUAGCACUAUGUUGAGGCAUUUCGAUAUAGUUAAAGAUUCAUCGGUAUAGGAUGGGCAUGCGUCUGAUUAGCUAGUUGGCGGUGUAACGGACCACCAAGGCGACGAUCAGUAGGGGUUCUGAGAGGAAGGUCCCCCACACUGGCACUGAGAUACGGGCCAGACUCCUACGGGAGGCAGCAGUAGGGAAUAUUGGGCAAUGGACGAGAGUCUGACCCAGCCAUGCCGCGUGCAGGAAGACGGCGUUCUGCGUUGUAAACUGCUUUUAUCUGGGAAGAAAAGGCCCAUGCGUGGGACAUUGCCGGUACCAGAUGAAUAAGCACCGGCUAACUCCGUGCCAGCAGCCGCGGUAAUACGGAGGGUGCAAGCGUUGUCCGGAUUUAUUGGGUUUAAAGGGUGCGUAGGCGGCUAUUUAAGUCAGUGGUGAAAGACUCCGGCUCAACCGGAGCAGUGCCAUUGAUACUGGAUAGCUUGAGUAUUGGAGAGGUACAUGGAAUUGAUGGUGUAGCGGUGAAAUGCAUAGAUACCAUCAGGAACACCGAUAGCGAAGGCAUUGUACUGGCCAAUAACUGACGCUGAUGCACGAAAGCAUGGGGAGCGAACAGGAUUAGAUACCCUGGUAGUCCAUGCCGUAAACGAUGAUUACUCGCUGUUAUGGCUUUAUGUUGUAGC